UAGGGAAUCUUCCGCAAUGGACGCAAGUCUGACGGAGCAACGCCGCGUGAGUGAAGAAGGAUUUCGGUUCGUAAAACUCUGUUGUUAGAGAAGAACAGCGCAUAGAGUAACUGUUAUGCGUGUGACGGUAUCUAACCAGAAAGCCACGGCUAACUACGUGCCAGCAGCCGCGGUAGUACGUAGGUGGCAAGCGUUGUCCGGAUUUAUUGGGCGUAAAGCGAGCGCAGGCGGUCAAUUAAGUCUGAUGUGAAAGCCCCCGGCUCAACCGGGGAGGGUCAUUGGAAACUGGUUGGCUUGAGUGCAGAAGAGGAGAGUGGAAUUCCAGGUGUAGCGGUGAAAUGCGUGGAUAUAUGGAGGAACACCAGUGGCGAAGGCGACUCUCUGGUCUGUAACUGACGCUGAGGCUCGAAAGCGUGGGUAGCAAACAGG
This 429-nucleotide ribosomal RNA is filed under the name Bacteroidota bacterium. RNAcentral describes it as "Bacteroidetes bacterium partial 16S ribosomal RNA". It matches the Rfam family "Bacterial small subunit ribosomal RNA", at positions 355 to 776 of the family's 1533-position model. The record is from RNAcentral. Lineage: Bacteria; Pseudomonadati; Bacteroidota.